UACGUAGGGGGGCAAGCGUUUGUCCGGAUUUAUUGGGCGUAAAGAGCGUGUAGGCGGUUAUACAGGUCCGCUGUGAAAACUGGAGGCUUAACCUCCAGACGUCGGUGGAAACCGUAUGACUAGAGUCCGGAAGAGGAGAGUGGAAUUCCUGGUGUAGCGGUGAAAUGCGCAGAUAUCAGGAAGAACACCCGUGGCGAAGGCGGCUCUCUGGGGACGGUACUGACGCUGAGACGCGAAAGCGUGGGGAGCGAACAGG
Molecule: ribosomal RNA, 256 nt
Filed under: uncultured bacterium
Lineage: Bacteria
Description: partial 16S ribosomal RNA
Rfam family: Bacterial small subunit ribosomal RNA
Source: RNAcentral